Molecule: ribosomal RNA, 440 nt
Filed under: uncultured bacterium
Lineage: Bacteria
Description: partial 16S ribosomal RNA
Rfam family: Bacterial small subunit ribosomal RNA
Source: RNAcentral
CCUACGGGAGGCAGCAGUGGGGGAUAUUGCACAAUGGGGGAAACCCUGAUGCCGCGACGCCGCGUGAGUGAAGAAGUACUUCGGUAUGUAAAGCUCUAUCAGCAGGGAAGAAAAUGACAGUACCUGACCAAGAAGCUCCGGCCAACUACGUGCCAGCAGCCCAGGUAAUACGUAGGGGGCAAGCGUUAUCCGGAUUGACUGGGUGUAAAGGGAGCGUAGACGGUUAUGUAAGUCUGGAGUGAAAGCCCGGGGCCCAACCCCGGGACUGCAUUGGAAACUGUGUGAGUGGAGUACAGGAGGGGAGAGUGGAAUUCCUGGUGUAGCGGUGAAAUGCGUAGAUAUCAGGAGGAACACCGGUGGCGAAGGCGGCCUGCUGGACUGUAACUGACGUUGAGGCUCGAAAGCGUGGGGAGCAAACAGGAUUAGAUACCCCUGUAGUC